UACGAAGGGGGCUAGCGUUGCUCGGAAUCACUGGGCUUAAAGCGCGUGUAGGCGGGUCGUUAAGUGUCCGAGUGAAAUCCCACGGCUCAACCGUGGAACUGCCGGGCAUACUGGCGAUCUUGAGGCAUUCAGGGGCGAGCGGAACAAAUGGUGGAGCGGUGAAAUGCGUAGAUAUCAUUUGGAACGCCAAUGGUGAAAACAGCUCGCUGGGAAUGAUCUGACGCUGAGACGCGAAAGCCAGGGGAGCGAACGGG
RNAcentral lists this ribosomal RNA (254 nucleotides) under uncultured bacterium. RNAcentral's name for it is "partial 16S ribosomal RNA". It matches the Rfam family "Bacterial small subunit ribosomal RNA", at positions 524 to 776 of the family's 1533-position model. The record is from RNAcentral.